AUUGAACGCUGGCGGCAUGCCUUACACAUGCAAGUCGAACGGCAGCACGGGAGCUUGCUCCUGGUGGCGAGUGACGAACGGGUGAGUAAUACAUCGGAACGUACCCUGAAGUGGGGGAUAACGUAGCGAAAGUUACGCUAAUACCGCAUAUUCUGUGAGCAGGAAAGAGGGGGAUCGCAAGACCUCUUGCUUUAGGAGCGGCCGAUGUCGGAUUAGCUAGUUGGUGAGGUAAAGGCUCACCAAGGCGACGAUCCGUAGCGGGUCUGAGAGGAUGAUCCGCCACACUGGGACUGAGACACGGCCCAGACUCCUACGGGAGGCAGCAGUGGGGAAUUUUGGACAAUGGGCGCAAGCCUGAUCCAGCCAUGCCGCGUGAGUGAAGAAGGCCUUCGGUUGUAAAGACUCUUUCGGUGGGAAGAAAGUUGCACAAGGAUAAUACCUUGCGUAGAUGACGGUACCCGCAUAAGAAG
This 470-nucleotide ribosomal RNA is filed under the name uncultured bacterium. RNAcentral describes it as "bacterial SSU rRNA". It matches the Rfam family "Bacterial small subunit ribosomal RNA", at positions 30 to 490 of the family's 1533-position model. The record is from RNAcentral.